UACGUAGGGCGCAAGCGUUGUCCGGAUUUAUUGGGCGUAAAGAGCUCGUAGGCGGUCCGUCACGUCGGCUGUGAAAACCCGAGGCUCAACCUCGGGCCUGCAGUCGAUACGGGCAGACUAGAGUGCGGUAGGGGAGACUGGAAUUCCUGGUGUAGCGGUGAAAUGCGUAGAUAUCGAGAGGAACACCAGUGGCGAAGGCGAGUCCCUGGACAGAUCCUGACGCUGAGGCACGAAAGCUAGGGGAGCAAACAGG
This 253-nucleotide ribosomal RNA is filed under the name uncultured bacterium. RNAcentral's name for it is "partial 16S ribosomal RNA". It matches the Rfam family "Bacterial small subunit ribosomal RNA", at positions 524 to 776 of the family's 1533-position model. The record is from RNAcentral.